This 73-nucleotide transfer RNA is filed under the name Dipodomys ordii (Ord's kangaroo rat). It matches the Rfam family "tRNA". Rfam says of the family: Transfer RNA (tRNA) molecules are approximately 80 nucleotides in length. Their secondary structure includes four short double-helical elements and three loops (D, anti-codon, and T loops). The record is from Rfam by way of RNAcentral. Lineage: Eukaryota; Metazoa; Chordata; Mammalia; Rodentia; Heteromyidae.
GGGAAGGUAGCUCAGUGGUAGAGUACUUGCCUUGCAUGCAUGAGGCCCUGGGUUCGAUUCCUCAGCACUUACA